AGUGAACGCUGGCGGUAGGCCUAACACAUGCAAGUCGAACGGCAGCACAGUAAGAGCUUGCUCUUACGGGUGGCGAGUGGCGGACGGGUGAGGAAUACAUCGGAAUCUACUUUUUCGUGGGGGAUAACGUAGGGAAACUUACGCUAAUACCGCAUACGACCUACGGGUGAAAGCAGGGGAUCUUCGGACCUUGCGCGAUUGAAUGAGCCGAUGUCGGAUUAGCUAGUUGGCGGGGUAAAGGCCCACCAAGUGGACGAUCCGUAGCUGGUGUGAGAGACUGAUCGGCGGCAUGGGAACUGAGACACGGUCCAGACUCCUACGGGAGGCAGCAGUGGGGAAUAGUGGACAAUGGGCGCAAGCCUGAUCCAGCCAGACCGCGUGGGUGAAGAAGGCCUUCGGGUUGUAAAGCCCUUUUGUUGGGAAAGAAAAGCAGCAGGUUAAUACCCCGCUGUUCUGACGGUACCCAAAGAAUAAGCACCGGCUAACUUCGUG
RNAcentral lists this ribosomal RNA (492 nucleotides) under uncultured bacterium. RNAcentral's name for it is "partial 16S ribosomal RNA". It matches the Rfam family "Bacterial small subunit ribosomal RNA", at positions 29 to 507 of the family's 1533-position model. The record is from RNAcentral.